CACCUGAGGCCCUUUGUGCUGCCAGCGGAGUUCACCCUCCUCACCCUGGGCAAGGUCAUGGCGGCCAGCGUGUACAGGUGCGUCCCUUUCCUGGGCAUCACCCUGACCACCAUGCAGACCGUGAUGCGAGGGAUAGAUGACAGCAGGAGACGAGGGGCCUUCUGCACCGCCCUGGAGUGCACGUGUGGGGCAAUCAGCACUUACCUGAGGAGCUGGGAGAGGAGCACCCAUCCACAAAUCACGCUCCAGCGCUUCUCUGCACACCUGCUCCCCACGUACCGGUACCUCCUCAGCGCCUGGCUGCCCAGCGAGGACACAGAGGUCAAACUGGCUGUCCUCAAGGCCCUGGGGCCAGUGCUGAGCAUCCUGCUGCCCAGGAAGGAUCUGCAAAACCAGAUCGUUGGGGACAUCCCCCUGCUCCUGGCUCAGUAUGGGAAGAACAUCGAGGCCUUUUACAUCACCAAGGUUCUGGGACAGAUCUUGCAGGCCUCUUCCUCCAAGAACCCGACCCCAGAGGUGUAUGUGGCGGCCAUCUCCCACACGCUGAGCUACCAGGUCACUUCCAAAGCUCAGCGGCCCUAUCAGCUCUGCAGGGAGAACCACACAGAGAUUCCCCACGUCUUCCUGCAACUCGCCCGUUCCCAUCCAUCGCAGCUGUUGGGGAUUUUCCAUUGAAAACUGUUAAUGGGCAGGGGAGAUACCCGUGUGGGGAUCCUGGCCCUGAUGUCAUAUGUUAUUGGUGCUGAAGGAGCGUCCAAUGCGGAGCCUUCCCCUGCGGGGGCUGCUGGAAAAAACGGUCCAGAAAACCAGCCUGGCCACCUUAGAAAUAAUCGUUGCCUCGGGCAGGGGGAUCAGCCAGGAGCUCUGGGAACGGCUCCUGGGC
RNA transcript from Mauremys reevesii (Reeves's turtle), 883 nucleotides. It is a transcript of the gene named maestro heat-like repeat-containing protein family member 2A, with no coding region annotated. The transcript is spliced from 9 exons. The record is from RefSeq and is a predicted model, not a curated record. Lineage: Eukaryota; Metazoa; Chordata; Testudines; Geoemydidae.